This 2165-nucleotide long non-coding RNA is filed under the name Marmota monax (woodchuck). The record is from RNAcentral. Lineage: Eukaryota; Metazoa; Chordata; Mammalia; Rodentia; Sciuridae.
GAAAAGGCUGUCAUUAUUGUGGCUAAAAUAAACACUUAUUGGUACCAGAUUAGUAAGAUUAGGGCACUUGAAGUACCAGAAAGAUCCAUAGUCAGAGAAUAUCUAUUUGUGGUACCAGGUGGCCCAGCAACCAGAUAUUUAUCUGCAGGAUCAAAGGAUGUGAUAUUUGAUAUUUAAUCAAAUUCAUGUUAGUGUCAACAGCCUGGAACAGAGGUAUUGAUAUAUUUAGUGAGGUGGAAGUUACAUGGGUAUGCUAUAGCAAGACAAGAGAGGAUUGACCUUCUCCCCUUCAGCUCCCAAAUCCAGAUAUUGUGAGCUAAAGGUACUCUUGUACUGUCAGUUUGUAGGCGUGGAGGAGUGGAAUCCUUCACAUUGAAUGUAAUAUGGGCAGUCUAUUUUGUUCAUUGAACAAAAAUAGUAUUCAUGAUUCAACCCAAGAGUGUGAGACCCAGUCUUAUGGCUAGGAUCUUCUCUAGCUUGGGGAGGGGUCUGUUUUAUAUUCAGAUAUCAAUUUAAUACUGCUACCUUGAGCAAAGUAGUGGAGCUACUUUAAGGGAAAUACUGAACUAUAACUGCAAAUUGGUUGUCAUUAUAUUUGAGAUUCCCGUAGGCAAAAACUCAUGUUAUAUACCCAAGAACUUACUGUCUCCCACUUCUUGCAGUUUAAUAACCAUUCUAGUUUACCAUUUGAGUUUUUUGAAAGAGGUUGAGAGUAACAGGAGGUUCUAGAAGAAUGAUGUAAUUAUUGUGGUGUUAACAAUUCUGAAAAUACAGUGUGCAGUUGAAAGAAGGGGACUGAGGGCCUGGUGAAACAGUGUAAAUGAGAGUUUCAUUCUCAUCCUGGAGGACAACCAGGGAGGCUUGAAGGGGUGCUCUAGUCUCUAUGAGGGUAUUCUGCACAUGUUCUUCAGUGAGAGCAAUUAACUCAUCAUGGUUGGGACAGACCUAUCUGUCAGGAGCCAUCCAUGGGCUGUGUGUGUAAGCUAUGCACAUUUGAGUGUAGGAGGGGCCUGGCUUGACAUUAGUGCCUGAGUGGGCUAUGCGACAUGUGUGUGCCUUUCUCUUGCUCUGCCUUUGAUCCCACACAGCACCUGAGGUGGGUGUGGCAAGACUCCACCCUUCGAAAUCCAAUCCCUUGACUUAUUUGGGUGGAACUUUCUCAAAUGUCUUUUCACCAAUAAAUAGAAGGUUUGGGGUAUGCUCACUUUCUUGCUCCUUCCAGAGCAAGAGCUGACCCUUGGGUCACCAAGCCGUCCUGCCUUAGAAACUUAUGUUCAUGUGCUGUGUGGUUUCUUUGCCAUUUUCUUAGUUAUUGAUACAGCCAGCACCUUGGAACCCAGCUCAUAUCGCCAGUCUGGCCAACUGGUGAUACCUAUCCAAGCCUGUAUGGUCACUAGCUGAGAAGGGUGAUGGUCUCAAGUAUUUAUUUCCUCUUAUAGAUUCUCUGGAGGAGGUGGUCUGUAGUGAGAAGCUGAACAAGGUACUAUUGACUCUCACCAGGUUAACUACAUUGUCUCAUUUAUUGUGAAGGCAAAGUUAACCAAAUUUGAAAGAUCUCUUUGGGCCACUGGACAAAACAAUCUUAUGGACUCUACACUCCCUUUCACUAAAAUCGCAAGUUUCAAUUAUUUAUUGAUUUGUAGGUGUCCGUUGGUGCCAGGGAACAACAUUGUACAAUUAUGUUCAUCUCAAGUAUAUUUUCAGGAAAACAUCUUUACUUUCAAAUUGAUGUUUGAUUGUGUAACAUAAAUAAAACAUUUCAAUUCUUAAUUGAAAGUGGCAUGGUUAAAGCACAUCCUUCUGUUUUUAAUUGGUGGUCAUGUCAUGUGAAAUUACUUAAAAGAAAAAUCAGUACUUUUGAACUUUAAAAAAAGCUUUGUCAAAUGAUGUCCAUCUUUUUUUUUUUUUUUUUUUACAAUUUAAAAGUCUGAAAGUAAAUACCAUUCUCUCAUUACUAUACUGCAUUUUAAAAAUAUAUAACCCUGAAUUCUGCAAUAUAUUUAUUACAUUUUAAAGUAUAAAUUAACAAAUAAAAUACUGAUGAACUAUCAUGCUUUAUUGUUCUUAACCUGUUUUCUAAUAAACAACCACGUAGAUUGAUUCAGAACUUCAUUUUUUUCUACUUUACUUGUAUUAAAUUCUAUAUAUAGCUCACAUCAAGUUCC